AGCGGUAUGGCCAAAUUGGUAAGGCACCAGAUUCUGAUUCUGGGUACUCUAGGUUCGAGUCCUAGUACCGCUGCCA
This 76-nucleotide transfer RNA is filed under the name Candidatus Hydrogenedentota bacterium. RNAcentral's name for it is "tRNA-Gln". It matches the Rfam family "tRNA". Rfam says of the family: Transfer RNA (tRNA) molecules are approximately 80 nucleotides in length. Lineage: Bacteria; Pseudomonadati; Candidatus Hydrogenedentota. The record is from RNAcentral.